CAGCAGCCGCGGGAAUACGAAGGGGGCUAGCGUUGUUCGGAAUUACUGGGCGUAAAGCGCACGUAGGCGGAUAUUUAAGUCAGGGGUGAAAUCCCGCAGCUCAACUGCGGAACUGCCUUUGAUACUGGGUAUCUUGAGUAUGGAAGAGGUUAGUGGAAUUGCGAGUGUAGAGGUGAAAUUCGUAGAUAUUCGCAGGAACACCAGUGGCGAGGGCGGCUAACUGGUCCAUAACUGACGCUGAGGUGCGAAAGCGUGGGGAGCAAACAGGAUUAGAUACCCCAGUAGUCCCUGUCUCUUAUAC
This 301-nucleotide ribosomal RNA is filed under the name uncultured bacterium. RNAcentral describes it as "partial 16S ribosomal RNA". It matches the Rfam family "Bacterial small subunit ribosomal RNA", at positions 509 to 807 of the family's 1533-position model. The record is from RNAcentral.